AGUUCCGCCGGCUGUCCCGCCGCCUGGAAGCCGCCACAAAGCGGCGGAGCUACCGCUGUCCCGCCGGAAAACCGGCGAUUUCGACGCCGUUUUCGGCCAAGUUUAGGUGAGUCUUGAUCCCUUCUUUCUCCUGGUAGUGUUUAGGCAUGGAUUGAAGCAAGUUUUUAAGGUUUUGAGGCCGGUUUUGCAGAUUUUGCCUUUGAUUUUCUGGUCACUGUUCGGGGCGGUUUCCGGCCGGUUCUGGCCAUUUUUGGUCGAAGUCUCAGGUAUGAAAGUUGUUCCCCUUGCUUCAAGCUUCAACUUUGCUGUUGGGAGUUUUCUCAAAUUCGGAAGUUUGGGGUGGCGCGUGAGGCCCACUCGCCGCCGCCUGUGGCGGCGCGUGGCGGCGCGUCCGGUUGAGUUGCAGCCCUAGUUUCCUGUGGUUAGGUAGUCCUUACUGCUGUGAGCUUGUUGAGUGGUAGUGUGGCUAGUUUUUAAGAAAUGUUGGCAUGCUAGAACGUUAAGUGUGAUUUUAGGUUUGUUGGAGGUUUGAGUGAGGAAUGGAGGAUUAGAGGCAGCCUUCGUGGGUCUCUAAGUUCGACGACUUUGGAAAGUUGUCAUCUCUUGAAUUAAGGGUUAGUUAAGGGUAUUGUGUUAACCUAUAGUAUUUUAGUUACUAAGGUUUUAAUUGUGCUAUUUUUAGGUGAUUUGUGAAGUUGAGUUGGUUUACCUUGGUCGGUUGUGGAAUUUGCAGCGGGAGAUUUAGGUGAGUAAACCUCACCAAGGUUCACUUUUGAACCUAAUUAAGGAUAUUAUGGUUAUAUAAUGAUAAUGAUGGUGAUGUUGGUUUUAAUAUCAUGCUUUUAAUUGUUUUUAAAAUUUCAUGAGCUUGAUCGCCAACGGCUCAUAGGUAAGAUAAAAACAAGUUUUCUUUAUAUUGUGAUGUUGAGAAUAAUGAUGUGAUUUAUAUAUUAUGUUGUUGAGAAUAAUAAUUGUGAUCUUGUGUUGUUGUGGAUAAUGUUGUGAAAAUUAUUGUGCUUGUUGGAUAAAUAGCCAAACCGGGUUCCAAGCCUUUUUUGGGUGAUUGGUUGCGGUUAAGAUGCUAUUUAUCAUUUUUGUAUUGAUAUUAGACAGUCAAACCGGGUUCCAAGCCUUUGGCCGGGUGAUUGGUUACGGUUAGGAAUAGAGCUCUAGUCCGUCUGUCAGUGUAGGUCAUGGGAGAUACUGUAUGGUAUCUGGGACCCAUGGGUACACAUAGUGUUGUGGUAGGUCAUGAGAGGUAUUUUANNNN
This 1270-nucleotide long non-coding RNA is filed under the name Fragaria vesca (wild strawberry). RNAcentral's name for it is "long non-coding RNA (FVES_LNC001402)". Lineage: Eukaryota; Viridiplantae; Streptophyta; Magnoliopsida; Rosales; Rosaceae. The record is from RNAcentral.